GAUGAACGCUAGCGGCAGGCUUAAUACAUGCAAGUCGUGGGGCAGCAUGAGUAGCAAUACUUGAUGGCGACCGGCAAACGGGUGAGGAACACGUACACAACCUUCCUUCAAGCGGGGAAUAGCCCAGAGAAAUUUGGAUUAAUACCCCAUAAUAUAUUUGAUAAGGCAUCUUAUUAAAUAUUAAAGCUUCGGCACUUGAUGAUGGGUGUGCGGCUGAUUAGAUAGUUGGCGGGGUAACGGCCCACCAAGUCUACGAUCAGUAGCUGAUGUGAGAGCAUGAUCAGCCACACGGGCACUGAGACACGGGCCCGACUCCUACGGGAGGCAGCAGUAAGGAAUAUUGGACAAUGGACGAAAGUCUGAUCCAGCCAUGCCGCGUGAAGGAUUAAGGUCCUCUGGAUUGUAAACUUCAUUUAUAUGGGACGAAAAAAGGGACAUUCUUGUUCACUUGACGGUACCAUAUGAAUAAGCACCGGCUAACUCCGUGCC
Molecule: ribosomal RNA, 489 nt
Filed under: uncultured bacterium
Lineage: Bacteria
Description: bacterial SSU rRNA
Rfam family: Bacterial small subunit ribosomal RNA
Source: RNAcentral